This 53-nucleotide transfer RNA is filed under the name Symposiachrus trivirgatus. Its description in RNAcentral is "tRNA-Arg". Lineage: Eukaryota; Metazoa; Chordata; Aves; Passeriformes; Monarchidae. The record is from RNAcentral.
AAGACAGUUGAUUUCGACUCAACAAAUCAUAGUUCAUACCCUAUGACUUUCUU